UAGGGAAUCUUCGGCAAUGGACGAAAGUCUGACCGAGCAACGCCGCGUGAGUGAAGAAGGUUUUCGGAUCGUAAAACUCUGUUGUUAGAGAAGAACAAGGACGUUAGUAACUGAACGUCCCCUGACGGUAUCUAACCAGAAAGCCACGGCUAACUACGUGCCAGCCGCCGCGGUAAUACGUAGGUGGCAAGCGUUGUCCGGAUUUAUUGGGCGUAAAGCGAGCGCAGGCGGUUUCUUAAGUCUGAUGUGAAAGCCCCCGGCUCAACCGGGGAGGGUCAUUGGAAACUGGGAGAAUUGAGUGCAGAAGAGGAGAGUGGAAUUCCAUGUGUAGCGGUGAAAUGCGUAGAUAGAUGGAGGAACACCAGUGGCGAAGGCGGCUCUCUGGUCUGUAACUGACGCUGAGGCUCGAAAGCGUGGGGAGCAAACAGG
RNAcentral lists this ribosomal RNA (429 nucleotides) under Gemmatimonadota bacterium. RNAcentral describes it as "Gemmatimonadetes bacterium partial 16S ribosomal RNA". It matches the Rfam family "Bacterial small subunit ribosomal RNA", at positions 355 to 776 of the family's 1533-position model. Lineage: Bacteria; Pseudomonadati; Gemmatimonadota. The record is from RNAcentral.